CCUACGGGUGGCAGCAGUGGGGAAUAUUGCGCAAUGGGCGAAAGCCUGAUGCAGCGACGCCGCGUGAGUGAAGAAGGUCUUCGGAUCGUAAAGCUCUGUCAGCAGGGAAGAACGGUCACUGUGCUAAUCAGCAGUGAAUUGACGGUACCUGCACAGGAAGCACCGGCUAACUACGUGCCAGCAGCCGCGGUAAUACGGAGGGUGCGAGCGUUAAUCGGAAUUACUGGGCGUAAAGCGCUCGUAGGCGGUAUGUCACGUCAAGGGUGAAAUCCCCGCGCUCAACGUGGGAACUGCCUUUGAAACUGGCAAACUGGAGUGUGUGAGAGGAUAGUGGAAUUCCAGGUGUAGGAGUGAAAUCCGUAGAUAUCUGGAGGAACAUCAGUGGCGAAGGCGACUAUCUGGCACAUAACUGACGCUGAGGAGCGAAAGCGUGGGGAGCAAACAGGAUUAGAUACCCCAGUAGUC
Molecule: ribosomal RNA, 465 nt
Filed under: uncultured bacterium
Lineage: Bacteria
Description: partial 16S ribosomal RNA
Rfam family: Bacterial small subunit ribosomal RNA
Source: RNAcentral